This 554-nucleotide ribosomal RNA is filed under the name uncultured bacterium. RNAcentral's name for it is "bacterial SSU rRNA". It matches the Rfam family "Archaeal small subunit ribosomal RNA", at positions 725 to 1275 of the family's 1478-position model. The record is from RNAcentral.
AGUAAAUAGAUACCCUGGUAGUCCUAGCCGUAAACGAUACUCGCUAGGUGUCGGCCACGGUGCGACCGUUGUCGGUGCCGUAGGGAAAGCCGUGAAGCGAGCCACCUGGGAAGUACGGCCGCAAGGCUGAAACUUAAAGGAAUUGGCGGGGGAGCACCACAACGGGUGGAGCUUGCGGUUUAAUUGGAUUCAACGCCGGAAAUCUUACCGGGACCGACAGCAAUAUGAAGGCCAGGCUGAAGACUUUGCCGGAUUAGCUGAGAGGUGGUGCAUGGCCGUCGUCAGUUCGUACUGUGAAAGCAUCCUGUUAAGUCAGGCAACGAGCGAGACCCACGCCCACAGUUGCCAGCGUACUCUCUGGAGUGACGGAUACACUGUGGGGACCGCCGCUGCUAAAGCGGAGGAAGGAAUGGGCAACGGUAGGUCAGUAUGCCCCGAAUAUCCCGGGCUACACGCGAGCUACAAUGGUUGGUACAAUGGGUAUCUACCCCGAAAGGGGACGGGAAUCUCCUAAAACCAAUCUUAGUUCGGAUUGAGGGCUGCAACUCGCCCUC